Molecule: small nuclear RNA, 107 nt
Organism: Otolemur garnettii (small-eared galago)
Lineage: Eukaryota; Metazoa; Chordata; Mammalia; Primates; Galagidae
Source: Ensembl
GUGCUCACUUUGGCAGUACAUAUACUAAAAUUGGAAUGAUAAAGAGAGGAUUAGCAUGGCCCCUGCUCAAGGAUGACAUGCAAAUUUGCGAAGUGUUUCAUAUUUUU